GAUGAAGAACGUAGCGAAAUGCGAUAAGUAGUGAGAAUUGCAGAAUUCAGUGAAUCAUCGAGUCUUUGAACGCACAUUGCGCCCCCUGGUAUUCCGGGGGGCAUGCCUGUCCGAGCGUCAUUGCUGCCCUCAAGCACGGCUUGUGUGUUGGGCCUCCGUCCUCCUCCCGGGGGACGGGCCCGAAAGGCAGCGGCGGCACCGCGUCCGGUCCUCGAGCGUAUGGGGCUUCGUCACCCGCUCUUGUAGGCCCGGCCGGCGCUUGCCGACACAUCAAUCUUUUUUCCAGGUUGACCUCGGAUCAGGUAGGGAUACCCGCUGAACUUAAGCAUAUCAAUAAGCGGAGGA
RNAcentral lists this unclassified non-coding RNA (345 nucleotides) under soil metagenome. RNAcentral's name for it is "partial contains 5.8S ribosomal RNA, internal transcribed spacer 2, and large subunit ribosomal RNA". The stretch from base 1 to 120 matches the Rfam family "5.8S ribosomal RNA", at positions 35 to 154 of the family's 154-position model. The record is from RNAcentral.